AGCCGGGGGAUCAGCGGUCCCCUGUACCGGAAUAUCCGCUAUACGCCGGGGUGAUUUCUGUUCGAGGGCCGUAUUUCGUGUCAGCUGCCCUGAGUAAGUGGCGUUGAUAUCCGGGUCCUGCGCAAUGGAUGCCGGUGAACCGUGUCAGGUCAGGAAUGAAGCAGCACUAAGCCGGAUUUUUCAUGUGCCGCAGGGUCGCCUGGAUUGAGCUAACUGCACAGGUAACGUUUCAUGGGAGCGGUUCGACAGCAGAAGC
This 256-nucleotide signal recognition particle RNA is filed under the name bovine gut metagenome. Its description in RNAcentral is "Bacterial large signal recognition particle RNA". It matches the Rfam family "Bacterial large signal recognition particle RNA". From Rfam's summary of the family: The signal recognition particle (SRP) is a universally conserved ribonucleoprotein involved in the co-translational targeting of proteins to membranes. Archaeal SRP consists of a 7S RNA and homologues of the eukaryotic SRP19 and SRP54 proteins. The record is from RNAcentral.